UUAGGCUUUGUGGGACGUGAUU
RNAcentral lists this microRNA (22 nucleotides) under Glycine max (soybean). Its description in RNAcentral is "gma-miR10448". The record is from miRBase by way of RNAcentral. Lineage: Eukaryota; Viridiplantae; Streptophyta; Magnoliopsida; Fabales; Fabaceae.